Molecule: ribosomal RNA, 375 nt
Filed under: uncultured organism
Description: partial 16S ribosomal RNA
Rfam family: Bacterial small subunit ribosomal RNA
Source: RNAcentral
GUAGGUGGCAAGCGUUGUCCGGAAUUAUUGGGCGUAAAGCGCGCGCAGGCGGUCCUUUAAGUCUGAUGUGAAAGCCCACGGCUCAACCGUGGAGGGUCAUUGGAAACGGGGGGACUUGAGUACAGAGGAGGAAAGCGGAAUUCCAAGUGUAGCGGUGAAAUGCGUAGAGAUUUGGAGGAACACCAGUGGCAAAGGCGGCUUUCUGGUCUGUAACUGACGCUGAGGCGCGAAAGCGUGGGGAGCAAACAGGAUUAGAUACCCUGGUAGUCCACGCCGUAAACGAUGAGUGCUAAGUGUUAGGGGGUUUCCCGCCCCCCUUAGUGCUGCAGCUAACGCAUUAAGCACUCCGCCUGGGGGAGUACGGCCGCAAGGCUG